AAAAUUUGAAGGAAUUUUAAUCAACCAUCUUGGUUCUUCACUCUUCAGGUAACUUCCAACCGUGUAGCGUUUGCGUGGUUUUCCAGCUUUCAGCUUUCCCUUCAACUUCCAUUUCUCUGCCGCGAGCGAGCGAGCGACAGAAUUUGUUUUCGAGCUUGCCAGAAACAGAUAGACACAGAGAUGAGCGCAAAUUUGAGUCGCAGAUCGUCUGAUUUUAUUUCGUUUUCGGCUUUGCUUUCUCUACUAUUCGUCUCCGCCCUUUCUGAUGACUCCACUCCCAAAGAUGGUAUUAAAUCUGGAAAUCAUCCAUCCUCCAGAAGCAACACUAGCUCGAUGAUUGCAAUCAUCCUCCUUGGUCUUUUGGUAGUGGUGUUGUCAUUUUUCCUUUUCAAGUUAUGGCAAAAAAAGAGAAGAGAGGAGCAAUAUGCCCGACUUCUGAAAUUGUUUGAAGAAGACGAUGAGCUUGAAGUUGAGCUUGGUCUUCGGGAUUGAAGGAUAUCUGAAAUUUACUUCACUGAAGUUGGGCUUAGAAAACAUUAUCUUGGAAUUGUUGCAUGUCAAAUGUCUAAAGAUCAUAAGAUGGUAGUUUGCUGUAAGGUUAGUUUUUGUUCUUCUUUUCUACAAUUUUAUGAUGUAUUAGUUUAUCCAAUUGAGGAUAAAAUGAGUGCUUAUAGCAUGUAAAAUUGAUCGAGUUCAGAUAUGUAAAAUUGAUGUUACAUAACGAGUUUAUUAAUGAAAGGGUUAAGUUCUCAAAUA
Molecule: long non-coding RNA, 756 nt
Organism: Cucurbita moschata (crookneck pumpkin)
Lineage: Eukaryota; Viridiplantae; Streptophyta; Magnoliopsida; Cucurbitales; Cucurbitaceae
Exons: 3
Source: RefSeq, a predicted model, not a curated record